UAGGGAAUAUGCCUUAUGGUGGGGGACAACAGUUGGAAACUACUGCUAAUACCGCAUAACGUCUACGGACCAAAGGAGGGGAUCUUCGGACCUUUCGCCAUUUGAUUAGCCCAAGUGAGAUUAGCUAGUAGGUGAGGUAAAGGCUCACCUAGGCGACGAUCUCUAGCUGGUUUGAGAGGAUGAUCAGCCACACUGGGACUGAGACACGGCCCAGACUCCUACGGGAGGCAGCAGUGGGGAAUACUGCACAAUGGGCGAAAGCCUGAUGCAUCCAUGCCGCGUGUGUGAAGAAGGCCUUCGGGUUGUAAAGCACUUUCAGUUGUGAGGAAAGGGGUGUAGUUAAUAACUGCAUUCUGUGACGUUAACAACAGAAUAAGCACCGGCUAACUUCGUGCCAGCAGCCGCGG
Molecule: ribosomal RNA, 407 nt
Filed under: uncultured Colwellia sp.
Lineage: Bacteria; Pseudomonadati; Pseudomonadota; Gammaproteobacteria; Alteromonadales; Colwelliaceae
Description: bacterial SSU rRNA
Rfam family: Bacterial small subunit ribosomal RNA
Source: RNAcentral